UUCUAUUUGCACCACACCUUGGUUAAUAAUAGGUGCAAGUAGGACUCUUCCAAGUUCAAAAAGACUUUAUAAAUAGCAACACUCUUGGUAUUGGGAUAUGACAUAUUAUUCUAACUAAAUUAACAUAAACAAAGAAGAAAAGAAUUAUAAUGGAGAAGAAAAAAAUUGUUGGAUUGUGCUUCUUCUUCGUGGUUCUCCUAGCUACUCCUACUCAAGAAAGAAAGGUGAAGAUUGAUGUGGAGUGUGUGAGGGAGAGUAAAUUAUUCAUUGGUGUAUGUAUUGCUAAUCCUUGUCUUUUUACUUGCCGGUAUGAAGGUGCAAUGGCUGGUGUAUGCGAAGAUUACAAGUGCAUUUGUCAAUUGUGUUGAACUUUAUCAUCACUAUAUAUAGAUAACUAAAUGCAAACUAUAGUUAGUUCAUUUUCAUGAAUUAAUAAUGAUGUUUCCUUUGUUUGAUAUGGAUUAUAUGAUCACUACUAAAUAAUGAAAAGUGUUGUCCCAAAAAAUGCAUGAUAUAAAUAUAAAUGCACAAUUAGAAACUAAGGGUAUGACUAUGCAUGUUGUGAAUUUCUUUUUUUUUAAAUAUAUAUAUAUUUUAAUGAGAA
This is a long non-coding RNA of Cicer arietinum (chickpea), 604 nucleotides long. RefSeq lists it as uncharacterized. The record is from RefSeq and is a predicted model, not a curated record. NCBI's taxonomy places the organism in Eukaryota, Viridiplantae, Streptophyta, Magnoliopsida, Fabales, Fabaceae.